UGGCGGCGUGCUUACACAUGCAAGUCGAACGGUAACAGAAAGAGCUUGCUCUUUGCUGACGAGUGGCGCACGGGUGAGUAAUAUAUAGUUAAUGUGCCCCAAAGACUAGGAUAGCCACUGGAAACGGUGAUUAAUACUGGAUAAGCCUCUAUCACAUAAGUGAGCGAGGAAAACGUUUUUUCGCUUUGGGAUCAGACUAUAUCCUAUCAGGUAGUUGGUGAGGUAAGAGCUCACCAAGCCAAUGACGGGUAGCGGGUUUGAGAGGAUGAUCCGCCACACUGGUACUGAGACACGGACCAGACUCCUACGGGAGGCAGCAGUGAGGAAUAUUGCACAAUGGGGGAAACCCUGAUGCAGCAACGCCGCGUGGAGGAUGACGCAUUUCGGUGUGUAAACUCCUUUUAUAUGUCAAGAAAAUGACGGUAGCAUAUGAAUAAGCACCGGCUAACUCCGUGCCAGCAGCCGCGGUAAUACGGAGGGUGCAAGCGUUACUCGGAAUCACUGGGCGUAAAGGACGCGUAGGCGGGUUGUCAAGUCUGGUGUGAAAUCCUACAGCUUAACUGUAGAACUGCAUUGGAAACUGGCAACCUAGAGUAUGGGAGGGGAAGAUGGAAUUAGUGGUGUAGGGGUAAAAUCCGUAGAUAUCACUAGGAAUACCUAAAGCGAAGGCGAUCUUCUGGAACAUUACUGACGCUAAGGCGUGAAAGCGUGGGGAGCAAACGGGAUUAGAUACCCCGGUAGUCCACGCCCUAAACGAUGAACACUAGUCGUCGGGAAGCUUGUCUUCUCGGUGAUGCACUUAACAGAUUAAGUGUUCCGCCUGGGGAGUACGGUCGCAAGAUUAAAACUCAAAGGAAUAGACGGGGACCCGCACAAGUGGUGGAGCAUGUGGUUUAAUUCGACGAUACCGAAAAACCUUACUGGCCUUGACAUUGAAAAAUACUCAAAAACAGUUAGUGCCCUUCGGGGACCUGAAAAAGGUGCUGCACGCUGUCGUCACUCGUGUCGUGAAAUGUGGGUUAAGUCCGCACGA
Molecule: ribosomal RNA, 1033 nt
Filed under: uncultured Helicobacteraceae bacterium
Lineage: Bacteria; Pseudomonadati; Campylobacterota; Epsilonproteobacteria; Campylobacterales; Helicobacteraceae
Description: bacterial SSU rRNA
Rfam family: Bacterial small subunit ribosomal RNA
Source: RNAcentral